CAAAAUGAACUUUCUCAACCAAUGUUUGGUGAUGAAUUAUUAGCAGUGACUCUAUUCCAGAUGGUAACUAGGUUUUGUAGUGGUUCUGCUCCUCAUUUUCCAAUCAAAAAAGUAUUACUACUACUAUGGAAAGUUAUUCUUUGGUGCCUCGUAUAACGUAUGCCUCGAAUAAUGGACGCUGUGAACAAUGGACUUUCUGUUUGGCCGUUACGUGACUCAGGCAACGGACUGGCUGCGAACAACGGACUUUCCGUUCAGCAGUUACGUGAAGCGAACAACGGACUUUCUGUGAAGAAAUG
Centruroides sculpturatus (bark scorpion) is the source of this 299-nucleotide long non-coding RNA. RefSeq lists it as uncharacterized. The transcript has 3 exons. The record is from RefSeq and is a predicted model, not a curated record. Lineage: Eukaryota; Metazoa; Arthropoda; Arachnida; Scorpiones; Buthidae.